RNAcentral lists this ribosomal RNA (526 nucleotides) under uncultured bacterium. Its description in RNAcentral is "bacterial SSU rRNA". It matches the Rfam family "Bacterial small subunit ribosomal RNA", at positions 775 to 1297 of the family's 1533-position model. The record is from RNAcentral.
AGAAAAUAGAUACCCGGGUAGUCCACGCUGUAAACGAUGGAUACUAGGUGUAGCAGGUAUCGACCCCUGCUGUGCCGCAGCUAACGCAAUAAGUAUCCCGCCUGGGGAGUAUGGCCGCAAGGUUGAAACUCAAAGGAAUUGACGGGGGCCCGCACAAGCGGUGGAGGAUGUGGUUUAAUUCGACGCAACGCGAAGAACCUUACCAAGGCUUGACAUCCACUGAAUCUUGUAGAAAUACAGGAGUGCCCGAAAGGGAGCAGUGAGACAGGUGGUGCAUGGCUGUCGUCAGCUCGUGUCGUGAGAUGUUGGGUUAAGUCCCGCAACGAGCGCAACCCUCGACGUUAGUUACCAUCAUUCAGUUGGGGACUCUAACGUGACUGCCGGUGAUAAGCCGGAGGAAGGUGAGGACGACGUCAAGUCAUCAUGCCCCUUACGUCUUGGGCUACACACGUCCUACAAUGGCAUAGACAAAGGGCUGCAAGACCGCGAGGUUGAGCGAAUCUCAUAAACUAUGUCUCAGUUCGGA